AUACAGAGGGUGCAAGCGUUGUUCGGAAUUAUUGGGCGUAAAGCGCGUGUAGGCGGCUUUGCAAGUCAGAUGUGAAAGCCCUCGGCUUAACCGAGGAAGUGCGUCUGAAACUGCAGAGCUUGAGUGUCGGAGAGGAUGGCGGAAUUCCGCAAGUAGAGGUGAAAUUCGUAGAUAUGCGGAGGAACACCGGUGGCGAAGGCGGCCAUCUGGACGACUACUGACGCUGAGACGCGAAAGCGUGGGGAGC
This 247-nucleotide ribosomal RNA is filed under the name uncultured bacterium. Its description in RNAcentral is "partial 16S ribosomal RNA". It matches the Rfam family "Bacterial small subunit ribosomal RNA", at positions 523 to 769 of the family's 1533-position model. The record is from RNAcentral.